This 210-nucleotide non-coding RNA is filed under the name Desulforamulus ferrireducens. Its description in RNAcentral is "Desulfotomaculum ferrireducens T-box sequence". It matches the Rfam family "T-box leader". Rfam says of the family: Uncharged tRNA acts as the effector for transcription antitermination of genes in the T-box leader family. T-boxes are found upstream of many aminoacyl-tRNA synthetase genes and some amino acid biosynthetic genes usually in Gram-positive bacteria. Lineage: Bacteria; Bacillati; Bacillota; Clostridia; Eubacteriales; Peptococcaceae. The record is from RNAcentral.
GUAAAGAUAAUGAUGGGGAGUAGUAAAUGGUGUAGCCCUGCAGAGAGCCGUCGGUUGGUGUGAGACGGUGGGUAAAGCUAUUGAAGCUCGCCCCGGAGUUGUUUGAGGGAAAAUAGUACUUCAAGCCGGGUUGGCCCGUUAUAGCUUUAAAGAGGAUAAGGACACUUAUCAAUUUGGGUGGUACCGCGGGAGAAACCUCUCGUCCCUUUG